AGUGAACGCUGGCGGUAGGCCUAACACAUGCAAGUCGAACGGAAGCACAGGAAGAGUGCUCCCCUACGGUUGGCGAGUGGCGGACGGGUGAGGCAUACAUCGGCUACCUAUAUGUCGGGGGUGACAACGGAGGGAAACUUACAAUACUGCCUAAUACAUUCUACGGGAGAAAGCAGUGGAUAUUCGGAGCUUGCGUGUUAGAAAUAGCCGAUGUCGGAUUAGCUUGUUGGCUGGGUAAAGGCCCACCAAGGCGACGAUACGUAGCUGGUCUGAGAGGAUGAUCGGCCACACUGGAACUGAGACACGGUCCAGACUCCUACGGGAGGCAGCAGUAGGGAAUAUUGCGCAAUGGGCGCAAGCCUGAUCGAGCCAUACCGCGUGAGUGAUGAAGGCCUUCGGAUUGUAAAGCCCUUUUGUUAGGAAAGAAAAGCAGCGGGUUUAUACCCCGCUGUUCUGACGGUACCCAAAGAGAAAGCACCGGCUAACUUCGUG
Molecule: ribosomal RNA, 492 nt
Filed under: uncultured bacterium
Lineage: Bacteria
Description: partial 16S ribosomal RNA
Rfam family: Bacterial small subunit ribosomal RNA
Source: RNAcentral